RNAcentral lists this ribosomal RNA (366 nucleotides) under uncultured Nitrospirota bacterium. RNAcentral describes it as "bacterial SSU rRNA". It matches the Rfam family "Bacterial small subunit ribosomal RNA", at positions 1036 to 1401 of the family's 1533-position model. Lineage: Bacteria; Pseudomonadati; Nitrospirota. The record is from RNAcentral.
AGGUGCUGCAUGGCUGUCGUCAGCUCGUGCCGUGAGGUGUUGGGUUAAGUCCCGCAACGAGCGUAACCCCUGUCUUCAGUUGCCAUCGGGUGAUGCCGGGCACUCUGGAGGGACUGCCCAGGAUAACGGGGAGGAAGGUGGGGAUGACGUCAAGUCAGCAUGGCCUUUAUGCCUGGGGCUACACACGUGCUACAAUGGCCGGUACAAGGGGUUGCAAUCCCGCAAGGGGGAGCCAAUCCCAAAAAACCGGCCUCAGUUCAGAUUGUGGUCUGCAACCCGACCACAUGAAGGUGGAAUCGCUAGUAAUCGCGGAUCAGCACGCCGCGGUGAAUACGUUCCCGGGCCUUGUACACACCGCCCGUCACA